RNAcentral lists this ribosomal RNA (406 nucleotides) under uncultured bacterium. Its description in RNAcentral is "partial 16S ribosomal RNA". It matches the Rfam family "Bacterial small subunit ribosomal RNA", at positions 30 to 526 of the family's 1533-position model. The record is from RNAcentral.
AUUGAACGCUGGCGGCAGGCCUAACACAUGCAAGUCGAACGAGUGGCGGACGGGUGAGUAAUGUCUGGGAAACUGCCUGAUGGAGGGGGAUAACUACUGGAAACGGUAGCUAAUACCGCAUACCAUCGGAUGUGCCCAGAUGGGAUUAGCUAGUAGGUGGGGUAACGGCUCACCUAGGCGACGAUCCCGAGCUGGUAUGAGAGGAUGACCAGCCACCCUGGAACUGAGACACGGUCCAGACGCCUACGGGAGGCAGCAGUGGGGAAUAUUGCACAAUGGGCGAAAGCCUGAUGCAGCCAUCCCGCGGGUAUGAAGAAGGCCUUCGGGUUGUAAAGUACUUUUGGCGGGGAAGCGUUACCCGCAGAAUAAGCACCGGCUAACUCCGUGCCAGCAGCCGCGGUAAUUC